UUUGAGGCGGACUCACUACAGUGAAUUUUGCAAAGGACACAGAGCUUGAAUCGAAGGGCAGUUGUCAGAACUUAGGCUCAGCCCAAGUGACCUUUUGUAUUUCUACAGCUCAUUUCCUUCUCAUCCACUUCAUACCUACAAGUAUCAUUUCCUCCGUGAUCGCCUUGACAGUAGGAAGGAGAGGGAGGGCAACCAGAAAAUUUAUCCAGGAAGGACAGUCAAGAGCACUAGUAGGAGAGAGAAAAAUCCACCUAUGCAGCGAAAGAGGUGCAGGGCUACAACGGGAUAUACUCUGAAGACAACAUAUUUUGUGUGGAAAUGUACAGUAAGGAGCAAAAGAAAUUGCAUUUUCAAUGGCUGGUGCUUGUUGUUUCAUCUGCUUGUUUCAUCUCCUUUCAUUUAAACAGCACCAAGGGUCCAAAAUUGACUGCUUUCAUUCUCUGUCUGCAAGUACCUUGGUAACUCAUAAGCGUUUUUAAAGAAUGGCCGUUUAGAGCUGAAAUGAAAUACAAAAUGCAAACCCUGGAAUGGUUCUUUGGCAGCCGCUUUGCAGAUGAUACAUACCUUGAACUAUUUCCAAAAACUGUCCGCCGCAGUGAUGCAGUGUGAAGUCACAGAGAAGAAGGAGAGAAAUUCCUUCUCUCGCAUCCCUGCAUCAUCUCCCCCACCUUAAAAAAAAAAAAAAAUUGGAACAAACAAGAAGCAAUUUAUCAAGGCCGAGAGAAGCAAAGAAAGAGAGCAGAAUCCCAGAGAAUAUUAACCUAAUUAGCAACUUCAUUAAAACCCAGGCUUGAACUUA
Pantherophis guttatus is the source of this 799-nucleotide long non-coding RNA. RefSeq lists it as uncharacterized. The record is from RefSeq and is a predicted model, not a curated record. NCBI's taxonomy places the organism in Eukaryota, Metazoa, Chordata, Lepidosauria, Squamata, Colubridae.